Anopheles funestus (African malaria mosquito) is the source of this 8045-nucleotide long non-coding RNA. RefSeq lists it as uncharacterized. The record is from RefSeq and is a predicted model, not a curated record. NCBI's taxonomy places the organism in Eukaryota, Metazoa, Arthropoda, Insecta, Diptera, Culicidae. The transcript has 3 exons.
UUAAAGCACUAUUUAAGUGAAAAGAAACUUAUUGCAACAAAUUUCCAUUAAAAUAUAUCACAUUUAAAAAUUUUGCUACAUUGCUUAAAAAUGAGGAAAAUUUUACAUUUUCUCGAACAGGGUAAGGAACUUGGUUCCUCGAAUAACUUCUGGCACAGACAUCUGAGGGCAUGGCCGUCCAAGAAGAAAAUGUAGCCAUUAAUGCCAUCUAUCGACCACAGGUUAAAGAUUGGCGAUCCGUUGGAUACCGACCGAGUUAUAGGCAAAAGUUGGUGCGAAAAUGAAGAAAAUUUUACAUUUUCUCAAACAGGGUAAGGAACUUGCUUCCUCGAAUAACUUCUGGCACAGACAUCUGAGGGCAUGGCCGUCCAAGAAGAAAAUGUAGCCAUUAAUGCCAUCUAUCGACCACAGGUUAAAGAUUGGCGAUCCGUUAGAUAUAGAUCGAGUUAUAGGCAAAGGUUGGUGCAAAAAUGAGCCUUAGUAAAUUUUCAUUUUUUUGAAAUUUUUGAUUUAUUUUAUUAUUUUUCACUUUUUUUUUAUUUGAAACAUUACUAGAGUGAAAAGAAACUCAUUGCAACCAAUUGGCAUUAAAAUAAAUCAAUUUCAUUUUUUUUGCAAAAUUUCCCAAAAAAAUCGUAAGGGGUAAGCCUUAUGAAAUUUUCGAGUUGAAAAUUUUUUGAAAUUUUUUUUCUGAUUUUGUAUUCUUUUUUUAAUUUAAAGCACUAUUUAAGUGAAAAGAAACUUAUUGCAACAAAUUUCCAUUAAAAUAUGUCACAUUUAAAAAUUUUGCUACAUUGCUUAAAAAUGAGGAAAAUUUUACAUUUUCUCGAACAGGGUAAGGAACUUAGUUCCUCGAAUAACUUCUGGCACAGACAUCUGAGGGCAUGGCCGUCCAAGAAGAAAAUGUAGCCAUUAAUGCCAUCUAUCGACCACAGGUUAAAGAUUGGCGAUCCGUUGGAUACCGACCGAGUUAUAGGCAAAAGUUGGUGCGAAAAUGAAGAAAAUUUUACAUUUUCUCAAACAGGGUAAGGAACUUGCUUCCUCGAAUAACUUCUGGCACCGACAUCUGAGGGCAUGGCCGUCCAAGAAGAAAAUGUAGCCAUUAAUGUCAUCUAUCGACCACAGGUUAAAGAUUGGCGAUCCGUUGGAUACAGAUCGAGUUAUAGGCAAAAGUUGGUGCGAAAAUGAAGAAAAUUUUACAUUUUCUCAAACAGGGUAAGGAACUUGCUUCCUCGAAUAACUUCUGGCACAGACAUCUGAGGGCAUGGCCGUCCAAGAAGAAAAUGUAGCCAUUAAUGCCAUCUAUCGACCACAGGUUAAAGAUUGGCGAUCCGUUGGAUACAGAUCGAGUUAUAGGCAAAAGUUGGUGCAAAAAUGAGCCUUAGUAAAUUUUCAUUUUUUUGAAAUUUUUGAUUUUUUUUAUUAUUUUUCACUUUUUUUUAUUUGAAACAUUACUAGAGUGAAAAGAAACUCAUUGCAACCAAUUGGCAUUAAAAUAAAUCAAUUUUAUUUUUUUUUUGCAAAAUUUCCCAAAAAAAUCGUAAGGGGUAAGCCUUAUGAAAUUUUCGAGUGGAAAAUUUUUUGAAAUUUUUUUUCUGAUUUUGUAUUCUUUUUUUAAUUUAAAGCAUUAUUUGAGUGAAAAGGAACUUAUUGCAACAAAUUUCCAUUAAAAUAUAUCACAUUUAAAAAUUUUGCUACAUUGCUUAAAAAUGAGGAAAAUUUUACAUUUUCUCGAACAGGGUAAGGAACUUGGUUCCUCGAAUAACUUCUGGCACAGACAUCUGAGGGCAUGGUCGUUCAAGAAGAAAAUAUAGCCAUUAAUGCCAUCUAUCGACCACAGGUUAAAGAUUGGCGAUCCGUUGGAUACCGACCGAGUUAUAGGCAAAAGUUGGUGCGAAAAUGAAGAAAAUUUUGCAUUUUCUCAAACAGGGUAAGGAACUUGCUUCCUCGAAUAACUUCUGGCACAGACAUCUGAGGGCAUGGCCGUCCAAGAAGAAAAUGUAGCCAUUAAUGCCAUCUAUCGACCACAGGUUAAAGAUUGGCGAUCCGUUGGAUACAGAUCGAGUUAUAGGCAAAAGUUGGUGCAAAAAUGAGCCUUAGUAAAUUUUCAUUUUUUUGUAUUUUUUGAUUAUUUUUAUUAUUUUUCACUUUUUUUUUUAUUUGAAACAUUACUAGAGUGAAAAGAAACUCAUUGCAACCAAUUGGCAUUAAAUUAAAUCAAUUUUAUUUUUUUUGCAAAAUUUCCCAAAAAAAUCGUAAGGGGUAAGCCUUAUGAAAUUUGCGAGUGGAAAAUUUUUUGAAAAUUUUUUUCUGAUUUUGUAUUCUUUUUUUAAUUUAUAGCACUAUUUAAGUGAAAAGAAACUUAUUGCAACAAAUUUCCAUUAAAAUAUAUCACAUUUAAAAAUUUUGCUACAUUGCUUAAAAAUGAGGAAAAUUUUACAUUUUCUCGAACAGGGUAAGGAACUUGGUUCCUCGAAUAACUUCUGGCACAGACAUCUGAGGGCAUGGUCGUUCAAGAAGAAAAUGUAGCCAUUAAUGCCAUCUAUCGACCACAGGUUAAAGAUUGGCGAUCCGUUGGAUACCGACCGAGUUAUAGGCAAAAGUUGGUGCGAAAAUGAAGAAAAUUUUACAUUUUCUCAAACAGGGUAAGAAACUUGCUUCCUCGAAUAACUUCUGACACAGACAUCUGAGGGCAUGGCCGUCCAAGAAGAAAAUGUAGCCAUUAAUGCCAUCUAUCGACCACAGGUUAAAGAUUGGCGAUCCGUUGGAUACAGAUCGAGUUAUAGGCAAAAGUUGGUGCAAAAAUGAGCCUUAGUAAAUUUUCAAUUUUUUGAAAUUUUUGAUUUUUUUUAUUAUUUUUCACUUUUUUUUUAUUUGAAACAUUACUAGAGUGAAAAGAAACUCAUUGCAACCAAUUGGCAUUAACUUAAAUCAAUUUUAUUUUUUUUGCAAAAUUUGCCAAAAAAAUCGUAAGGGGUAAGCCUUAUGAAAUUUUCGAGUGGAAAAUUUUUUGAAAUUUUUUUCUGAUUUUGUAUUCUUUUUUUAAUUUAUAGCACUAUUUAAGUGAAAAGAAACUUAUUGCAACAAAUUUCCAUUAAAAUAUAUCACAUUUAAAAAUUUUGCUACAUUGCUUAAAAAUGAGGAAAAUUUUACAUUUUCUCGAACAGGGUAAGGAACUUGGUUCCUCGAAUAACUUCUGGCACAGACAUCUGAGGGCAUGGCCGUCCAAGAAGAAAAUGUACCCAUUAAUGCCAUCUAUCGACCACAGGUUAAAGAUUGGCGAUCCGUUGGAUACCGACCGAGUUAUAGGCAAAAGUUGGUGCGAAAAUGAAGAAAAUUUUACAUUUUCUCAAACAGGGUAAGGAACUUGCUUCCUCGAAUAACUUCUGGCACAGACAUCUGAGGGCAUGGCCGUCCAAGAAGAAAAUGUAGCCAUUAAUGCCAUCUAUCGACCACAGGUUAAAGAUUGGCGAUCCGUUGGAUACAGAUCGAGUUAUAGGCAAAAGUUGGUGCAAAAAUGAGCCUUAGUAAAUUUUCAUUUUUUUUGAAUUUUUUGAUUUUUUUUAUUAUUUUUCACUUUUUUUUUUAUUUGAAACAUUACUAGAGUGAAAAGAAACUCAUUGCAACCAAUUGGCAUUAAAAUAAAUCAAUUUUAUUUUUUUUGCAAAAUUUCCCAAAAAAAUCGUAAGGGGUAAGCCUUAUGAAAUUUUCGAGUGGAAAAUUUUUUGAAAAUUUUUUUCUGAUUUUGUAUUCUUUUUUUAAUUUAUAGCACUAUUUAAGUGAAAAGAAACUUAUUGCAACAAAUUUCCAUUAAAAUAUAUCACAUUUAAAAAUUUUGCUACAUUGCUUAAAAAUGAGGAAAAUUUUACAUUUUCUCGAACAGGGUAAGGAACUUGGUUCCUCGAAUAACUUCUGGCACAGACAUCUGAGGGCAUGGCCGUCCAAGAAGAAAAUGUACCCAUUAAUGCCAUCUAUCGACCACAGGUUAAAGAUUGGCGAUCCGUUGGAUACCGACCGAGUUAUAGGCAAAAGUUGGUGCGAAAAUGAAGAAAAUUUUACAUUUUCUCAAACAGGGUAAGGAACUUGCUUCCUCGAAUAACUUCUGGCACAGACAUCUGAGGGCAUGGCCGUCCAAGAAGAAAAUGUAGCCAUUAAUGCCAUCUAUCGACCACAGGUUAAAGAUUGGCGAUCCGUUGGAUACAGAUCGAGUUAUAGGCAAAAGUUGGUGCAAAAAUGAGCCUUAGUAAAUUUUCAUUUUUUUUUUAAUUUUUUGAUUUUUUUUAUUAUUUUUCACUUUUUUUUUUAUUUGAAACAUUACUAGAGUGAAAAGAAACUCAUUGCAACCAAUUGGCAUUAAAAUAAAUCAAUUUUAUUUUUUUUGCAAAAUUUCCCAAAAAAAUCGUAAGGGGUAAGCCUUAUGAAAUUUUCGAGUGGAAAAUUUUUUGAAAAUUUUUUUCUGAUUUUGUAUUCUUUUUUUAAUUUAUAGCACUAUUUAAGUGAAAAGAAACUUAUUGCAACAAAUUUCCAUUAAAAUAUAUCACAUUUAAAAAUUUUGCUACAUUGCUUAAAAAUGAGGAAAAUUUUACAUUUUCUCGAACAGGAUAAGGAACUUGGUUCCUCGAAUAACUUCUGGCACAGACAUCUGAGGGCAUGGCCGUCCAAGAAGAAAAUGUAGCCAUUAAUGCCAUCUAUCGACCACAGGUUAAAGAUUGGCGAUCCGUUGGAUACCGACCGAGUUAUAGGCAAAAGUUGGUGCGAAAAUGAAGAAAAUUUUACAUUUUCUCAAACAGGGUAAGGAACUUGCUUCCUCGAAUAACUUCUGGCACAUACAUCUGAGGGCAUGGCCGUCCAAGAAGAAAAUGUAGCCAUUAAUGCCAUCUAUCGACCACAGGUUAAAGAUUGGCGAUCCGUUGGAUACAGAUCGAGUUAUAGGCAAAAGUUGGUGCAAAAAUGAGCCUUAGUAAAUUUUCAUUUUUUUGAAAUUUUUGAUUUUUUUUAUUAUUUUUCACUUUUUUUUUUAUUUGAAACAUUACUAGAGUGAAAAGAAACUCAUUGCAACCAAUUGGCAUUAAAAUAAAUCAAUUUUAUUUUUUUUGCAAAAUUUCCCAAAAAAAUCGUAAGGGGUAAGCCUUAUGAAAUUUUCGAGUGGAAAAUUUUUUGAAAUUUUUUUUCUGAUUUUGUAUUCUUUUUUUAAUUUAAAGCAUUAUUUGAGUGAAAAGGAACUUAUUGCAACAAAUUUCCAUUAAAAUAUAUCACAUUUAAAAAUUUUGCUACAUUGCUUAAAAAUGAGGAAAAUUUUACAUUUUCUCGAACAGGGUAAGGAACUUGGUUCCUCGAAUAACUUCUGGCACAGACAUCUGAGGGCAUGGUCGUUCAAGAAGAAAAUGUAGCCAUUAAUGCCAUCUAUCGACCACAGGUUAAAGAUUGGCGAUCCGUUGGAUACCGACCGAGUUAUAGGCAAAAGUUGGUGCGAAAAUGAAGAAAAUUUUACAUUUUCUCAAACAGGGUAAGGAACUUGCUUCCUCGAAUAACUUCUGGCACAGACAUCUGAGGGCAUGGCCGUCCAAGAAGAAAAUGUAGCCAUUAAUGCCAUCUAUCGACCACAGGUUAAAGAUUGGCGAUCCGUUGGAUACCGACCGAGUUAUAGGCAAAAGUUGGUGCGAAAAUGAAGAAAAUUUUACAUUUUCUCAAACAGGGUAAGGAACUUGCUUCCUCGAAUAACUUCUGGCACAUACAUCUGAGGGCAUGGCCGUCCAAGAAGAAAAUGUAGCCAUUAAUGCCAUCUAUCGACCACAGGUUAAAGAUUGGCGAUCCGUUGGAUACAGAUCGAGUUAUAGGCAAAAGUUGGUGCAAAAAUGAGCCUUAGUAAAUUUUCAUUUUUUUGAAAUUUUUGAUUUUUUUUAUUAUUUUUCACUUUUUUUUAUUUGAAACAUUACUAGAGUGAAAAGAAACUCAUUGCAACCAAUUGGCAUUAAAAUAAAUCAAUUUUAUUUUUUUUGCAAAAUUUGCCAAAAAAAUCGUAAGGGGUAAGCCUUAUGAAAUUUUCGAGUGGAAAAUUUUUUGUAAUUUUUUUUCUGAUUUUGUAUUCUUUUUUUAAUUUAAAGCAUUAUUUGAGCGAAAUGGAACUUAUUGCAACAAAUUUCCAUUAAAAUAUAUCACAUUUAAAAAUUUUGCUACAUUGCUUAAAAAUGAGGAAAAUUUUACAUUUUCUCGAACAGGGUAAGGAACUUGGUUCCUCGAAUAACUUCUGGCACAGACAUCUGAGGGCAUGGUCGUUCAAGAAGAAAAUGUAGCCAUUAAUGCCAUCUAUCGACCACAGGUUAAAGAUUGGCGAUCCGUUAGAUACCGACCGAGUUAUAGGCAAAAGUUGGUGCGAAAAUGAAGAAAAUUUUACAUUUUCUCAAACAGGGUAAGGAACUUGCUUCCUCGAAUAACUUCUGUCACAUACAUCUGAGGGCAUGGCCGUCCAAGAAGAAAAUGUAGCCAUUAAUGCCAUCUAUCGACCACAGGUUAAAGUUUGGCGAUCCGUUGGAUAUAGAUCGAGUUAUAGGCAAAAGUUGGUGCAAAUCUGAGCCUUAGUAAAUUUUCAUUUUUUUGAAAUUUUUGAUUUUUUUUAUUAUUUUUCACUUUUUUUUUAUUUGAAACAUUACUAGAGUGAAAAGAAACUCAUUGCAACCAAUUGGCAUUAAAAUAAAUCAAUUUUAUUUUUUUUGCAAAAUUUCCCAAAAAAAUCGUAAGGGGUAAGCCUUAUGAAAUUUUCGAGUGGAAAAUUUUUUGAAAUUUUUUUUCUGAUUUUGUAUUCUUUUUUUAAUUUAAAGCAUUAUUUGAGUGAAAAGGAACUUAUUGCAACAAAUUUCCAUUAAAAUAUAUCACAUUUAAAAAUUUUGCUACAUUGCUUAAAAAUGAGGAAAAUUUUACAUUUUCUCGAACAGGGUAAGGAACUUGGUUCCUCGAAUAACUUCUGGCACAGACAUCUGAGGGCAUGGUCGUUCAAGAAGAAAAUGUAGCCAUUAAUGCCAUCUAUCGACCACAGGUUAAAGAUUGGCGAUCCGUUAGAUACCGACCGAUUUAUAGGCAAAAGUUGGUGCGAAAAUGAAGAAAAUUUUACAUUUUCUCAAACAGGGUAAGGAACUUGCUUCCUCGAAUAACUUCUGUCACAUACAUCUGAGGGCAUGGCCGUCCAAGAAGAAAAUGUAGCCAUUAAUGCCAUCUAACGACCACAGGUUAAAGUUUGGCGAUCCGUUGGAUAUAGAUCGAGUUAUAGGCAAAAGUUGGUGCAAAACUGAGCCUUAGUAAAUUUUCAUUUUUUUGAAAUUUUGGAUUUAUUUUAUUAUUUUUCACUUUUUUUUUAUUUGAAACAUUACUAGAGUGAAAAGAAACUCAUUGCAACCAAUUGGCAUUAAAAUAAAUCAAUUUUAUUUUUUUUGCAAAAUUUCCCAAAAAAAUCGUAAGGGGUAAGCCUUAUGAAAUUUUCGAGUGGAAAAUUUUUUGAAUUUUUUUUUCUGAUUUUGUAUUCUUUUUUUAAUUUAAAGCAUUAUUUGAGUGAAAAGGAACUUAUUGCAACAAAUUUCCAUUAAAAUAUAUCACAUUUAAAAAUUUUGCUACAUUGCUUAAAAAUGAGGAAAAUUUUACAUUUUCUCGAACAGGGUAAGGAACUUGGUUCCUCGAAUAACUUCUGGCACAGACAUCUGAGGGCAUGGUCGUUCAAGAAGAAAAUGUAGCCAUUAAUGCCAUCUAUCGACCACAGGUUAAAGAUUGGCGAUCCGUUAGAUACCGACCGAGUUAUAGGCAAAAGUUGGUGCGAAAAUGAAGAAAAUUUUACAUUUUCUCAAACAGGGUAAGGAACUUGCUUCCUCGAAUAACUUCUGUCACAUACAUCUGAGGGCAUGGCCGUCCAAGAAGAAAAUGUAGCCAUUAAUGCCAUCUAACGACCACAGGUUAAAGUUUGGCGAUCCGUUGGAUAUAGAUCGAGUUAUAGGCAAAAGUUGGUGCAAAACUGAGCCUUAGUAAAUUUUCAUUUUUUUGAAAUUUUGGAUUUAUUUUAU